This 486-nucleotide ribosomal RNA is filed under the name uncultured bacterium. Its description in RNAcentral is "partial 16S ribosomal RNA". It matches the Rfam family "Bacterial small subunit ribosomal RNA", at positions 30 to 507 of the family's 1533-position model. The record is from RNAcentral.
AUUGAACGCUGGCGGCAUGCCUUACACAUGCAAGUCGAACGGCAGCACGGGUGCUUGCACCUGGUGGCGAGUGGCGAACGGGUGAGUAAUACAUCGGAACAUGUCCUGUAGUGGGGGAUAGCCCGGCGAAAGCCGGAUUAAUACCGCAUACGAUCCACGGAUGAAAGCGGGGGACCUUCGGGCCUCGCGCUAUAGGGUUGGCCGAUGGCUGAUUAGCUAGUUGGUGGGGUAAAGGCCUACCAAGGCGACGAUCAGUAGCUGGUCUGAGAGGACGACCAGCCACACUGGGACUGAGACACGGCCCAGACUCCUACGGGAGGCAGCAGUGGGGAAUUUUGGACAAUGGGCGAAAGCCUGAUCCAGCAAUGCCGCGUGUGUGAAGAAGGCCUUCGGGAUGUAAAGCACUUUUGUCCGGAAAGAAAUCCUUGGCUCUAAUACAGUCGGGGGAUGACGGUACCGGAAGAAUAAGCACCGGCUAACUACGUG